Molecule: non-coding RNA, 179 nt
Filed under: Heliorestis acidaminivorans
Lineage: Bacteria; Bacillati; Bacillota; Clostridia; Eubacteriales; Heliobacteriaceae
Description: Heliorestis sp. HR10B 6S / SsrS RNA
Rfam family: 6S / SsrS RNA
About the family: E. coli 6S RNA was the first non coding RNA to be sequenced, but its function was unknown until recently. It consists of 184 nucleotides that fold into an extended hairpin structure with a large single-stranded internal bulge.
Source: Rfam by way of RNAcentral
GAUGCCCUACGGGGUUCGUUGCUUCUAAUGUUUUCAAUCGAUAUUGUAAAAACGGGAGCUUUCGUUCUUAAGGUGCUGUCGAGCCUGGUUAGACAGGAGGACAAAUUCCUUUAGACAGAGCACCCACCUGAGAGCAUCAGGUUGGAAAACGUUACGGUGACGGCCUUCGUGGGACUACA